GAUGAACGCUGGCGGCGUGCUUAACACAUGCAAGUCGAACGAAGCACCUCUCCCGAAGAUUGACACAGCUUGCUGUAGAUUGAUUCAUUUGAGGUGACUGAGUGGCGGACGGGUGAGUAACGCGUGGGUAACCUGCCUCAUAGAGGGGGACAACAGUUGGAAACGACUGCUAAUACCGCAUAGUAAGACGAAUUCGCAUGUUUUCUUCUUGAAAGAUUUAUCGCUAUGAGAUGGACCCGCGUCUGAUUAGCUAGUUGGUAAGGUAACGGCUUACCAAGGCGACGAUCAGUAGCCGGCUUGAGAGAGUGAACGGCCACAUUGGGACUGAGACACGGCCCAAACUCCUACGGGAAGCAGCAGUGGGGAAUAUUGCACAAUGGGGGAAACCCUGAUGCAGCGACGCCGCGUGAGUGAAGAAGUAUUUCGGUAUGUAAAGCUCUAUCAGCAGGGAAGAUAAUGACGGUACCUGACUAAGAAGCCCCGGCUAACUACGUG
RNAcentral lists this ribosomal RNA (495 nucleotides) under uncultured bacterium. RNAcentral describes it as "partial 16S ribosomal RNA". It matches the Rfam family "Bacterial small subunit ribosomal RNA", at positions 28 to 507 of the family's 1533-position model. The record is from RNAcentral.